Pseudophryne corroboree (corroboree frog) is the source of this 255-nucleotide long non-coding RNA. RefSeq lists it as uncharacterized. The record is from RefSeq and is a predicted model, not a curated record. The transcript is spliced from 2 exons. NCBI's taxonomy places the organism in Eukaryota, Metazoa, Chordata, Amphibia, Anura, Myobatrachidae.
CAUAUGCUGUAAGUUUUAUUAGUAACACAAACUACAGUGCUAUAAUAGACUGAAGCGUUUAUGCAUCAUAUUAUGACAAACUGACAGAAAUGAUGAAGGACCACAACACAAGAGCUGUUGGGCACCAACAACAACUGUGGGCCAGUGUGGAAGCAAAUCCUGUAGGUCUGUGGAAGGAAAUUAAAGGAAAGGAAGCCAAGAGGCAAAAGGACGUGUAUGAUAUUUCCUGCUGAUAUUAAAUGAUGUCAUAUGGAA